Molecule: non-coding RNA, 76 nt
Organism: Ameiurus melas (black bullhead)
Lineage: Eukaryota; Metazoa; Chordata; Actinopteri; Siluriformes; Ictaluridae
Source: the annotation of a GenBank genome assembly
GCGGCUGUGGCUCAGGUGGUAGAGUAGGCUGUCUGUUAAUCGUAGGGUUGGUGGUUCGAUCCCCGGCCCACAUGCU